UUUUCCCCACCUUACUUUCCCCUUUCACAGGUUCACACAUCUACCUUCUCCCUCAUCUUCUCUCACACCUCCGGUCGCCGGAGGAGGGAUUCCGGCGCCGGUAUACCCGGCCAGGCGACACGCACACACCCCCAACACUCUUCUCCUUCCUAUGACACCCCCACCCCCUUCGUUUUCUCUCUCUCGCACACUAUUUUCGACUGGAGAGCGGACGGUGCUCCGACAACGGCGUACCAGCGAUGGUGGAUUUGACGGAGGUUCAGUGGCGAACACUCUUCAAAUUGACCCUUCUGACCUACUUCCGGUGCCUGCUUUCCGCUUGGAUCAAUGGGGGUGUAUUCUUUUUUACGCUGAUGGUCGUGGUUCACAGGAGCCUCACUCCGGUGGUGACUGACGAACGACGACGGCGGUGCUAAAUCCUCUGGAAUCAAUCACGGCAGCCAUGAUCUUCGAGCUUUCUCACCCUGUUCUGCUUUUACUUUGUUGUCUCUUUCGUCAGACUAGGAUUACAAAGAUCCUAAAGGUGUUGACAGGCAACAUCACACGAUGUGGUCUCUGAUUGUUGAGGCUCGACUUUGGUCCUGGCAUCAUGAUCCUUAAAAAAACCAAAAAGAUAGCCGCACCAGCCUGUUCAACUCUCCAAGGCAAGUCAUUUAACUUUGUAAUGGACCAGGCUCGGAACAUGCUUCAAAACAGGAAAUCAGCUGGGUCAACCCACUACAACUUUCAGCACUUUAUAUUUAGUACAUCAACUAUCCCAAUGUAACACAGAUAACCUCCUGGUAACAUAAAACCUUACCCGCCGCGAAGCGCGGGCGUUAUCUACUAGUUUCAUAUUAUAAUACAUUUCAUGACAAUUUUGGGGCCGCUAACAAGGCUAAGGCUGUGGCCGAUGAAGCGAUAGCAGAAUGUAGAGAAAGAUGAUGGUAAGAGCGAGAGACAAUUAACUUAGUGUGAGAAUGGGAGGCAAUGAAGCAAACAAUAAGCAAACUGUCUGGGUCAAAGAUUGUCUCUUAGCGGCUUAG
This 1025-nucleotide long non-coding RNA is filed under the name Helianthus annuus (common sunflower). Lineage: Eukaryota; Viridiplantae; Streptophyta; Magnoliopsida; Asterales; Asteraceae. The record is from RNAcentral.